Chelonia mydas (Green sea turtle) is the source of this 347-nucleotide long non-coding RNA. RefSeq lists it as uncharacterized. NCBI's taxonomy places the organism in Eukaryota, Metazoa, Chordata, Testudines, Cheloniidae. The transcript is spliced from 3 exons. The record is from RefSeq and is a predicted model, not a curated record.
CAUGGGAAUCCACUAAAAGUGCCCAGUGACCUAUCACUGCCGUAAAGUGUCAGCUGCCUGCCUCCGAUGCUCCUGUGUUUCUGAAGAUGGGAAAAUCCACCCCGUGGCAACUCCUUGAUUUGCCCUUAUCACAGCAGGUGAAAGGAGAAGUGAUGCAAGUGUGGGAAUAUCAGCUGCUGGGAGUCCAGCCCUGCUAAGAAUGAAUUCGUUUUGCAUAUUUUUUGGACAAUUCUCUGCCCCCUAAAAGGCAAAAUCAACUCCAGAGUAGGACCCCGAGGGGGCAGCAGCGAGCAAAGUAAGAUUAAAUCCAAAGCGUGUUGCUUUUCAAAGCCCCACCUACAAACCAA